GACGAACGCUGGCGGCGUGCCUAAUACAUGCAAGUCGAGCGAGCGGAACUAACAGAUUUACCUCGGUAAUGACGUUAGGAAAGCGAGCGGCGGAUGGGUGAGUAACACGUGGGGAACCUGCCCCAUAGUCUGGGAUACCACUUGGAAACAGGUGCUAAUACCGGAUAAGAAAGCAGAUCGCAUGAUCAGCUUUUAAAAGGCGGCGUAAGCUGUCGCUAUGGGAUGGCCCCGCGGUGCAUUAGCUAGUUGGUAAGGUAAAGGCUUACCAAGGCGAUGAUGCAUAGCCGAGUUGAGAGACUGAUCGGCCACAUUGGGACUGAGACACGGCCCAAACUCCUACGGGAGGCAGCAGUAGGGAAUCUUCCACAAUGGACGCAAGUCUGAUGGAGCAACGCCGCGUGAGUGAAGAAGGUUUUCGGAUCGUAAAGCUCUGUUGUUGGCGAAGAAGGAUAGAGGUAGUAACUGGCCUUUAUUUGACGGUAAUCAACCAGAAAGUCACGGCUAACUACGUG
RNAcentral lists this ribosomal RNA (512 nucleotides) under uncultured bacterium. RNAcentral's name for it is "partial 16S ribosomal RNA". It matches the Rfam family "Bacterial small subunit ribosomal RNA", at positions 28 to 507 of the family's 1533-position model. The record is from RNAcentral.